Molecule: unclassified non-coding RNA, 345 nt
Filed under: soil metagenome
Description: partial contains 5.8S ribosomal RNA, internal transcribed spacer 2, and large subunit ribosomal RNA
Rfam family: 5.8S ribosomal RNA (bases 1-120)
Source: RNAcentral
GAUGAAGAACGCAGCGAAAUGCGAUACGUAAUGUGAAUUGCAGAAUUCAGUGAAUCAUCGAGUCUUUGAACGCACAUUGCGCCCUCUGGUAUUCCGGAGGGCAUGCCUGUCCGAGCGUCAUUGCUGCCCUCAAGCACGGCUUGUGUGUUGGGCCCCGCCCCCCGAUCCCGGGGGGCGGGCCCGAAAGGCAGCGGCGGCACCGCGUCCGGUCCUCGAGCGUAUGGGGCUUUGUCACCCGCUCUGUAGGCCCGGCCGGCGCUUGCCGAUCAACCAAACUUUUUUCCAGGUUGACCUCGGAUCAGGUAGGGAUACCCGCUGAACUUAAGCAUAUCAAUAAGUGGAGGA